UUUGAUCCNUGGCUCAGGAUGAACGCUAGCGGCAGGCCUAACACAUGCAAGUCGAGGGGCAGCAUAGAUUGCUUGCAAUCUGAUGGCGACCGGCGCACGGGUGAGUAACGCGUAUGCAACCUGCCUUCUACAGGAGGAUAGCCCCCGGAAACGGGGAUUAAUACUCCAUAGUAUUGCGUCAACANAAGUUGANGUUCUUAAAGCUUCGGCGGUAGAAGAUGGGCAUGCGUCCUAUUAGCUUGUUGGUAAGGUAACGGCUUACCAAGGCAUCGAUAGGUAGGGGGCCUGAGAGGGUGGCCCCCCACACUGGUACUGAGACACGGACCAGACUCCUACGGGAGGCAGCAGUGAGGAAUAUUGGUCAAUGGAGGCAACUCUGAACCAGCCAUGCCGCGUGCAGGAAGAAUGCCCUAUGGGUUGUAAACUGCUUUUAUUUAGGAAGAAUCCCCCAGUACGUGUACUGGGUUGACGGUACUAAACGAAUAAGACCCGGCAA
RNAcentral lists this ribosomal RNA (496 nucleotides) under uncultured marine bacterium. RNAcentral's name for it is "bacterial SSU rRNA". It matches the Rfam family "Bacterial small subunit ribosomal RNA", at positions 12 to 499 of the family's 1533-position model. The record is from RNAcentral.